UGGGGAAUAUUGCACAAUGAGCGAAAGCUUGAUGCAGCGACGCCGCGUGAGGGAUGACGGCUUUCGGGUUGUAAACCUCUUUCGGCAGGGAACAAGUCCAUGUUUUUGCAUGGUUGAGGGUACCUGCAUAAGAAGCGCCGGCUAACUCCGUGCCAGCAGCCGCGGUAAUACGUAGGGCGCGAGCGUUGUCCGGAAUUAUUGGGCGUAAAGAGCUCGUAGGCGGCUUGUCACGUCUGCUGUGAAAACGCGGGGCUUAACUCCGCGCUUGCAGUGGGUACGGGCAGGCUUGAGUAUAGUAGGGGAGACUGGAAUUCCUGGUGUAGCGGUGGAAUGCGCAGAUAUCAGGAGGAACACCGAUGGCGAAGGCAGGUCUCUGGGCUAUAACUGACGCUGAGGAGCGAAAGCAUGGGGAGCGAACAGG
RNAcentral lists this ribosomal RNA (421 nucleotides) under uncultured prokaryote. Its description in RNAcentral is "bacterial SSU rRNA". It matches the Rfam family "Bacterial small subunit ribosomal RNA", at positions 355 to 776 of the family's 1533-position model. RNAcentral also lists the same sequence under 1 other name. The record is from RNAcentral.